GACGAACGCUGGCGGCGUGCCUAAUACAUGCAAGUAGAGCGCAGUUGCGAACGGGUGAGUAACGCGUAGGUAACUGCCUCAUAGCGGGGGAUAACUCUUGGAAACGAUAGCUAAUACCGCAUACUGUGAGAUGGACCUGCGUUGUAUUAGCUAGUUGGUGAGGUAAAGGCUCACCAAGGCCACGAUACAUAGCCGGCCUGAGAGGGUGAUCGGCCCAACUGGGACUGGGACAACGGCCAGAACCCCACGGGAGGGAGCAGUAGGGGAUCAUCGGAAAAUGACGGAAGUCUGAACGAGGCAAGCCGGGGGAGUGAAGAAGGUUUUUGGAUCGUAAAGCUCUGUUGUGAGAGAAGCGGUAACUAAACAGAAAGGGACGGCUAACUACGUGCCAGCAGCCGCGGUAAUUC
Molecule: ribosomal RNA, 407 nt
Filed under: uncultured bacterium
Lineage: Bacteria
Description: partial 16S ribosomal RNA
Rfam family: Bacterial small subunit ribosomal RNA
Source: RNAcentral